UUGAUAUUGUUUGUUUUAGAGUUGUUGUGCCUGUGUUGUUAGAUUUGUUGUGCUUGUGAGUUUCUGUUGAGUUGUAUGGAAGUUGUUGUAGUUGAGGGUGGUUGUUGUUUUAGGGGAGCUAUUGUGGUUUCUUGGUGUAGUUGUGAGAUAUUGAGGCUUGUUGUUGGUGAGCUGUUGUGAUUUCUUGGUGUUGUUAGUGGGUGUGUGUUGCCUUUUUGUGUUGUUUUUUGUUAGUGAUUUUGUGCAGUGGUCUUUUGUUGUGGUUGUGGUCCUUUUUGUUUGCUGUGUUGUUGAGUUAUGGUUGUAUUCCUUGUUUGUGUUGUUGAGUUGUGGUUGUAGUCCUUGUUUGUUUGCUGUUGUUUAGUUGUGGUUGUAUUCCUUGUUUGUUGUUGAGUUGUGGGGUUGUGGUCCAGGGGUGUUGUGUUGUUGUUGUUGUUGAGCUGUGGGGUUUGUUCUUGGCUGUCUUGUUGUUGGUUGUGUGUAACAGCGGCCGUAUCCAGUGAACAGUACAGCUCCUGAGUGUCAAAUAGUUGAGAUACCGACGCUGCCAUCACCUGACGUUGCAGCAUCGGAUUGAAAACAACUUUGUGCAAGAGAGGAAAAGAGUAAUAAGAGGCGAAUAAAGGACCGCUUUCAAUCUCUAUUGUUGUCGGAGAAGAUGACGAUGGAAGAAAUAGUUUAUGAAAAAUUAAAUAACAUAUAUCAAAGUCGAGAGGGGAAAGAGAGAAAAAUAGUAAUAGGCCUUAUUACAACCCGUAAAAGCAUCAAAGAACUUAAAAAAUUUUGUCGGGAGAAAAACAUAAGAGGAGAAGAAAAACUCUAAAGUAUUACUUGUAUAAAUAUUAUUGUACUGUAAAUGAUGAUAAUGGAAUGAAACAACUAGCUAAGAAUACUAAUAAUAAUGCAUUUCUCAUAAUGCUUGGAUACGAAGAUUUGUAUAGAAUUAAUCACGAAGCUCAUAUAAACUGCGGCCAUAGUAAAAAAACAAAGAAUGUAUUAUAUAUAUAUAUCACUUGAAAUGUGUUACGGGAUUAGUUAAUAUUACCUAUUUUCAAAUUCAAGCAUACAUAUCCUUAUGUAUAAAUUUUAUUAAAAAGGGAUUUAGGAUCCCCAAUUUAACUUCUCCUUUGCCAAUUAUAUCUGCGGGAUUUGGGCAAUGAGGUCAAGUAGAUUUGAUUGAGAUGUCUUCCUUGCGAAGUGCUCUAUUUUCUCAAUUAUCAAGAUCAUACGACAAAAUUUUGUAUCUUAAAACCUGUGCUUAACAAAGACACUGAUACUGUAUCAAAAUUGUUAAUUGAUUUUAUCAUUCUUUUUGGCUGUCCUAAAAUUUCACAAUGCGACAGUGGGCGCGAGUUUCAAUGUUGUGAUAAUGAAUGAAAGAAUUUGUGGUUAAUUUCAAGAUUAUUCAUAGUAGUCCCCGACAUCCUCAAUCACAAGGAUCCGUUGAAAUGGCUAAUGAGGAUAUUGAACAAAUGCUUAUGUAGAUGUUGGGUUAGUGAUGAUAAUUGUACUAAAUGGUUUCUGUGGUUACCUUUCGUUCAACUCAGAAAAAAAUAACACAGCCGAACGAGAAAAUGCUGUCCAUAUAUUGCAGUAUUUGGUCAAUAUCCUCCCGUUAAUCCUACUGUUACUGCAUCAUCAUCAUUAGUAACGACCAGUUCUUCAAUCAUUGUCACGAGAGAACGGCAUAUUAUUAUUAGUUGUAGUAAUAGUGAUAAUGAAGAAGAAAUUGAUGAUUAUGAUAAUUUUGAAAAUGACGAUGAUGGUUUUAAUGUUUCAGUUAAAUGUAUAAAAAGUAAGGAAAUUCGACAAGACGCCAUUGAUGGUAUUUCAACAAUCGCCCAAAGAAGAUCGAUUUCAUAAACUUGGUUUUCCAAAUGUGUUAUGUCGAGUUGAUCAGUAUUACCCAGAAAUAGACAAAUAUAGUGUCUAGUAUCAAAACCGCUGUAAUCAUUAGAAAUUUUAUUUCUCAUAGUCACAUCAAUGGUAAUAUUGUUAUUUGUACCUUUACUAAUAGUAAUAAUGAUGAUGAGGAUGAAGGUAUUAUUAGUAAUAACAACAACAGCAGCAGUCUUCCCCCUUCUUUGUUUUCUCCAUUACCAUCAUCAUCAUCAUUAACCCUACU
Molecule: long non-coding RNA, 2125 nt
Organism: Macrobrachium nipponense
Lineage: Eukaryota; Metazoa; Arthropoda; Malacostraca; Decapoda; Palaemonidae
Exons: 3
Source: RefSeq, a predicted model, not a curated record